CCUACGGGGGGCAGCAGUGAGGAAUAUUGGUCAAUGGUCGGGAGACUGAACCAGCCAAGCCGCGUGAGGGAGGAAGGCACAGAGUAUCGUAAACCUCUUUUGUCAGGGAACAAACACUGGUACGCGUCCCCGGAUGAGUGUAUCUGAAGAAAAAGCAUCGGCUAACUCCGUGCCAGCAGCCGCGGUAAUACGGAGGAUUCGAGCGUUAUCCGGAUUUAUUGGGUUUAAAGGGUGCGUAGGCGGGAUUGCAAGUCAGAUGUGAAAGCCCAGGGCUUAACCACGGGACCGCCUUUGAACCUGGCAGUCUAGAGUUUGGGAGAGGUAUGUGGAAUGCGCGGUGUAGCGGUGAAAUGCGUAGAUA
This 361-nucleotide ribosomal RNA is filed under the name uncultured bacterium. RNAcentral describes it as "partial 16S ribosomal RNA". It matches the Rfam family "Bacterial small subunit ribosomal RNA", at positions 338 to 696 of the family's 1533-position model. The record is from RNAcentral.